This 895-nucleotide ribosomal RNA is filed under the name Samsoniella hepiali. RNAcentral describes it as "partial large subunit ribosomal RNA". It matches the Rfam family "Eukaryotic large subunit ribosomal RNA", at positions 34 to 964 of the family's 3401-position model. Lineage: Eukaryota; Fungi; Ascomycota; Sordariomycetes; Hypocreales; Cordycipitaceae. The record is from RNAcentral.
CUACAUAUCAAUAAGCGGAGGAAAAGAAACCAACAGGGAUUGCCCCAGUAACGGCGAGUGAAGCGGCAACAGCUCAAAUUUGAAAUCUGGCCUCCGGGUCCGAGUUGUAAUUUGUAGAGGAUGCUUUUGGCGAGGUGCCUUCCGAGUUCCCUGGAACGGGACGCCAUAGAGGGUGAGAGCCCCGUCUGGUCGGACACCGAGCCUCUGUAAAGCUCCUUCGACGAGUCGAGUAGUUUGGGAAUGCUGCUCAAAAUGGGAGGUAUAUGUCUUCUAAAGCUAAAUAUUGGCCAGAGACCGAUAGCGCACAAGUAGAGUGAUCGAAAGAUGAAAAGCACUUUGAAAAGAGGGUUAAAAAGUACGUGAAAUUGUUGAAAGGGAAGCGCCUAUGACCAGACUUGGGCCCGGUGAAUCAUCCAGCGUUCUCGCUGGUGCACUUUGCCGGGCACAGGCCAGCAUCAGUUUGGCGCGGGGGAAAAAGGUUUUGGGAAUGUGGCUCCCUCGGGAGUGUUAUAGCCCAUUGCGUAAUACCCUGCGCCGGACUGAGGUACGCGCAUCGCAAGGAUGCUGGCGUAAUGGUCAUCAGCGACCCGUCUUGAAACACGGACCAAGGAGUCGUCUUCGUAUGCGAGUGUUCGGGUGUCAAACCCCUACGCGUAAUGAAAGUGAACGCAGGUGAGAGCUUCGGCGCAUCAUCGACCGAUCCUGAUGUUCUCGGAUGGAUUUGAGUAAGAGCAUACGGGGCCGGACCCGAAAGAAAGUGAACUAUGCCUGUAUAGGGUGAAGCCAGAGGAAACUCUGGUGGAGGCUCGCAGCGGUUCUGACGUGCGAAUCGAUCGUCAAAUAUGGGCAUGGGGGCGAAGACUAAUCGAACCUUCUAGUAGCUGGGUUUCCGCGA